GACAGGGGGCCCGAGCGUUAAUCGGAAUCACUGGGCUUAAAGGGUGCGUAGGCGGAUCAGCAAGUGUUUCGUGAAAACCCACGGCUCAACCGUGGAAUUGCGGGGCAAACUGCUGAUCUUGAGGGAAGUAUGGGCGGACAGAACUAUCGGUGGAGCGGUGAAAUGCGUAGAUAUCGAUAGGAAUGCCGAUGGCGAAGGCGGUCCGCUGGGCUUCUCCUGACGCUCAGGCACGAAAGCGUGGGGAGCAAACAGG
Molecule: ribosomal RNA, 253 nt
Filed under: uncultured bacterium
Lineage: Bacteria
Description: partial 16S ribosomal RNA
Rfam family: Bacterial small subunit ribosomal RNA
Source: RNAcentral